GCGGCGUGGAUAAGGCAUGCAAGUCAUACGGACACUUUCGCAAGAUGUGUUAGUGGCAGACGAGUUAGUAACACGUAGGUACCUCCCCCGAAGUCGGGAAUAACGAGUCGAAAGAUUCGCUAAUACUCGAUAGUCUCUUAGGAGUAAAGAAGCAAUUCGCUUCGGGAAGGGCCUGCGGGCUAUCAGCUAGUUGGUGAGGUAACGGCUCACCAAGGCGACGAUGCGUAGGGGGUGUGAGAGCAUGACCCCCACCACUGGGACUGAGAUACUGCCCAGACACCUACGGGUGGCUGCAGUCGAGAAUCUUCGGCAAUGGGCGCAAGCCUGACCGAGCGACGCCGCGUGUGGGAUGAAGGCCCUUGGGUUGUAAACCACUGUCAGAGGGGAUGAAGUGCAUGGGAGCAAUCUCCUGUGUUUGACAUAGCCUCAGAGGAAGCACGGGCUAAGUUCGUGCCAGCAGCCGCGGUAAU
RNAcentral lists this ribosomal RNA (470 nucleotides) under uncultured bacterium. RNAcentral's name for it is "bacterial SSU rRNA". It matches the Rfam family "Bacterial small subunit ribosomal RNA", at positions 39 to 524 of the family's 1533-position model. The record is from RNAcentral.